CAGUCAUGCUCGUGAGGAAUCAACUUGAUGGUGUGUGGGUUCUCUCGCAUACUUUCCGGUGCACUUCCUCGCUCGGCAGGUUAGCAUCAAUUUCGGUUAUCAUAAAAAAUUUGAGGGAAUGUGGCUUUCCUUCGGGAAAGUGUUAUAGACCUCGAUCGAUGUGGUGACCGGGAUUGAGGAUUGCAGCGGAUACCCCUCGUGGCUUGUCACCUGACUUCUGACAGUUGCCUCGCUUUCGACAGCUUGCUAACGUUAGCGGGACUCGAUUGUCUAGGCGUCAGAUUGACUCUAUUUCGC
Molecule: ribosomal RNA, 297 nt
Filed under: Acaulospora cavernata
Lineage: Eukaryota; Fungi; Glomeromycota; Glomeromycetes; Diversisporales; Acaulosporaceae
Source: RNAcentral